RNAcentral lists this long non-coding RNA (1151 nucleotides) under Ficedula albicollis (Collared flycatcher). Its description in RNAcentral is "lncRNA (ENSFALG00000028554.1)". Lineage: Eukaryota; Metazoa; Chordata; Aves; Passeriformes; Muscicapidae. The record is from RNAcentral.
ACAGCUGCCACCCCUCGCUGCUCUCGUGCUACUGAGCUCUAACCUCCUCUGCUUAGGAACUAUUUAAAAAAAAAAAAAAAAAAAAAGUCCCUGUCCCUUCUGUCCUCCCUCUCUGUGUCCCUCAUGUCCCUCCCAUCCUCAUCCCUCCCAUCCUCCAUGUCCCUUGUCCUCCUGUCCCUCCCUGUCCCUCCUUGUCCCUUCUGUCCUCCCUGGGGGGGGGGGGGGGGGGGGGGGGGGGGGGGGGGGGGGGGGGGGUUAAAAAAAAAAAAAAAAAAAAAAAAAAGGAAAAAAACACCUGUUAUUAAAUGGUAAUUCUCGGAGGUCCUGGUGGUUUGCUCGGUCGCGUGGCGCUCGGGGACACGGCGGUGAAUGUGGCAGUGCUUGGGUUGAGUGACCUUGGAGGUCUUUCCUGACCCCAGUGAUUCUGUGUGAGCGUGCUUAAUUAGGCCAGUCAUUAAUUAGGGGGUGGCUGCAGAGGCACAGCUGGACCCCAGCUCCCUUUUCCUCCCCGUUCUCCCAUGCCCUGAGUGCUUCCCUCCCCGUGAGGCUGAGCAGCACACGACAUCGGUGUCCCUGUCACUUGUAGAGGUGUCCCCCCCGUGUCCCCACCGCCCAGAUCCCUGGGCUGGGGACAUCCACCAGCCCCAGGUGUCCCUGCACCAGGCUGGUUCCAGCCCUGAGCUGGGAUUCCCCCCAUCCCUGAGCCCCCCACCCGGGCAGGGCUGGGCAGGGCAGGGCAGCAGGAACCUCCCUUGGUGCCAGGAGCUGCCCGGGGAUGAGCUCCAGAGCCUCAUCCCAGCUCAUCCCCCCAUCCCUGAGCUCCCCACCCGGGCAGGGCAGGGCAGCAGGAACCUCCCUUGGUGCCAGGAGAGUUCAGCUGCUCGGGGAUGAGCUCCAGAGCCUCAUCCCAGCUCAUCCCCCCAUCCCUGAGCCCCCCACCCGGGCUGGGCAGCAGGAACCUCCCUUGGUGCCAGGAGAGUUCAGCUGCUCGGGGAUGAGCUCCAGAGCCUCAUCCCCCCAGGGCUCUGCCAGCUGCCAAGAUCAGGCCUUAAACAGGCCUUAAACCAGGUUUAAUUUGGAGUUAGGGGGGGGGGGGGGGGGGGGGGGGGGGGGGGGGGGGGGGGGGGGGGGGGGGGGGGGGGGGGGGGGGG